UCAUGAUGCCACAAAGAUCAUCGACAAUAUGUAGUCAAUUAAGGUGGUAAGCAAUCCACUUGACUAAUAACUCAACAAGUAAAAUUAUAUGAACGUUUCGAGAAACGCUUCAUGAGUGCAUUCCACAGUACUUUGUGAUCAUUACUUUUUGCACAGAUUGCCAUUGAAGGCUUUUGUCGAUGUGGCGCGUUAAAGACUUUGAGCGCAUGAGAUGUGAAAUCUCGGCAUCUAGGCUUGUUAGCCUGGGGGUCAAAACAUGUGGUUUAAUCCUUUCCAAUGAAAGGUUCCACAGAUACCAAGCGAAGAUCCGCCUUAGGCAUCUAGUACGUCAAAACUCAAAGGAGCAGAAUGUUACAUUGCUCUUGCAUACAAAACCAAGCUGUUAUGAAACUCGAUAGAGGUCACAAACGAUGUUUUUAAUGGUUUGUCAUUCGGAUUGAUCAUACACAAUCCGGAAAAGCCGCGAAUUGAUCAAACACAAUUCGGAAAAAGGCCUCGGAUUGAUCAAACACAAUCCGGUGAAAGGUCGGGGUUGAUCAAACACAACCCGGACAAAGAAACAAGAGUGAUCCAACAUACUCUUGACCCGCGAAUAAAAUUCCGGGAUUUUUGGUACCUGCACACACAAAAUCCCAAGCAUAGAAUGGAGAUGGAGAAGGGAGGAAAGGAUUUUAUCCUCCCCGAGUUAUUGAACUUGGAAGAGUUUAAGGUUUCAAAACAUACCUUUCUAAAGGCUGCCGAGAGGAGAAAUAACGUUUCGCCUACUUUUACUUCGAAUUUGGGGCUGAAAAUUUGACAGGAGGAGCAGCUCUGGAUGGGGAAGCUUCUAUCAAAAUUUCAGGUUGAUCGGAGCAAGGGAAGGUGGUGAACCGGUGGUCGGUAGCGGCGGCGGUCUGGAAUUUUCCGGCGGCCGGUUCGGAGACUUUCCGGCCGGUUCUCAGGGUGAGGCCGGCGGCGUUGGAUCCGUGACGGAAAGAGCUUUCUGGGGAUAUAAAAUUCUGGCAGAGGGCAGUCGGAAUUUUGGUCGGAAAUCGGGAAAAACAAGGCUGCCCGAUUUUAGGGUUUUGGUUUUAGGGUUUAGAAAAAAAUGGUGGGCUAUUGGCUCUAGGGUUAAAACAAAGUGCAUGAUAACGUGAUGAAGAAUAAAGUGUAGAGACAAAGAGAUAGCAAGAGAGUCAUCUUAUUCAUUGAUAGGAGCCCUUUAUAUAGAGAAUUACACAAUACCAAUAUGGUAAGGAUAUGAAUACAUAGAUCUAGUCUAACUACAUAUCCUAUUGGCAUAAGGCCAAGGCACACAUAGAGAAUAUCCUAGAACAAUCUUCAAAUUAUACGGAAUUUUAGCAAUUAUGUCUGAUUUAUGAAAAUUGGAGACUUUAGGGGGUAAAUUUUCAAAAUUAAAACUAUAGGGAAUGAAAUGAUAUUAACCCCAAACCUCAGAGAGAUAAACUGAAAUUAAUCUUUAUUAUUAUCUCCGAUUAUUAUGUAAUGCGAUUCAAUUGUAGGAACUGUGUGACUAGGAACUACGUAUAUAUUCUUCAUGAAAACUAUAUUUAUCAAAGUACGAUUAGUGUCAGAAUUCAUGU
RNAcentral lists this long non-coding RNA (1583 nucleotides) under Fragaria vesca (wild strawberry). RNAcentral's name for it is "long non-coding RNA (FVES_LNC000138)". Lineage: Eukaryota; Viridiplantae; Streptophyta; Magnoliopsida; Rosales; Rosaceae. The record is from RNAcentral.